Patella vulgata (common limpet) is the source of this 2358-nucleotide long non-coding RNA. RefSeq lists it as uncharacterized. The record is from RefSeq and is a predicted model, not a curated record. The transcript has 4 exons. NCBI's taxonomy places the organism in Eukaryota, Metazoa, Mollusca, Gastropoda, Patellidae.
GUUAAACUAAAAUUUGGCCGCGGUUGAACGUUAUUGAAUAAUUCUUGUAAUGUGAAAGAACAAAGACUUCGAACAGUUAUUGAGUAUAAGAUUAUACAGAGUUUGACAAUGUGUCUGUUAUGUGAAUGAUACUGUAUAUAGGACUUGUAAAAUAUACAAGAUAGGUAUGAAUAUUACGCCUUUAAACUGGCAUUUGCUGUGGUGUAAACGUUAUUCGAUAGCUUUUAUAUGAAAGAUAACAUAAAUGAUGAUUUCGGACAUUUAUUGAGUAUUAGAUUAUAUAGAGGGUGAAUUUUAUGAAGAGUUUGAUACGACCUGUAUGAUGACGUAUAGAUGAGAGAGCUUUGGUGUGAUUAUUUUAUGUUAACUUAUAACUAUACAAGUGCCAAAUGCGCAGAAUUCAUAUUUCCGAAGACGUACGUGUAUAUAUGACGUAUUCAUGUGAGAGAUUCGGUGUAAUUAUUUUAUGUUAACUUAUAACUAUACAGGUGGCCAUUGCGCAAAUUUCAUAUCCCCGAAGACGUACGUGUAUAUAAUAAAAACAGAUCCAAUUAUAUAAGACAGUGGUCAAAACACGAUGGAAUAUAUGCUUUACUAUGCUUUAUAGUUGAUAUGUGCUUUAAAAGAUUGCAUAUAAGUUCGCUGUGAAAGUUGUUCAGAAUUUAAUUACAACUAAUUUACAUUAAACGCCAUGGCGCCUAUUUUGUUAAUAUUUAUAAUCGAAUUUCUGCCCUUAACAGAAGCAAUGAAUGGUCCAUGUCUAUUUAAAUCAAACAUAGAUGCUGCUUUAAUUGGUGGAGCUGCCGGUGGGGUUUGUCUGUUAGUUAUUGUGAUCAUUGUAGUAGUUGUUUGUUUACUGAAAAGAAGAAAGAAUAAACAGCAUAACAAACCAUCUGCUAGACGAACUGGAGACUCUAGUUAUGAGAACUGUCAUCCCGACGAAUCUAUCACGGAUAGGGAGGAUGCAAAACAUACACAAAUUAACGCCAGUAAUAACGAUACAGAUAAGAAACCGGACGAUAUGAUCAUUCUUGAGAACGAUCUACAUAUUAGUAUUGAUUCAGUUCCCAACACGUCCACCACAACUAACAGUAACGGUACUGGGCAGAAAGGAACCCGGAUACCGGAUGAUAUGAUCAUCCUCGAGAAUCCUAUGUAUGUUAGUGUUGAUUCACUUCCAAAGAGUGAAAAGUCAAAUGAUCAACGUGACAAACCCAACCACCAGUCUACAGUCCACAAAUUUUCCGUGGGUCAAAGUUCAAAUCCUAAUGACGUUUAUGCAGUAGUAAAUAAAAAACCUAAAGCGACGGAUAAACCUUCUAAACCAACAAGGCCCACCCAACCUUCGAAACCAAUAAAACCACCCAAACCGUGCCCACAAACUAAACCAUCAAUCGCAGUUAAACCACCGGUUCCAAAGAAACCCAUAGCCAAAUUGUAAUGUCGUAAACUGAAUCAAAGCUGAACGUAAUGAUUCACGAGGAGAUGUGUUGAUUUACACAAUUUAGAACUGUUGGUUUCUUCUGACAUAAUUGUUUGUUGUUUCUCAAAGCUGUCUUUAAAUCACAUUUAAAAACCAGAAACAUGGGUUGUGUUCAUUCAUAGCUUACAAUGUAUGAUGGAAGUCUGAAUUAACGGAGGGUUAUACCGUGACACACUAUAAAUGCCAGGCUCUAUUAACGCCUAGAGCUAGAAUCAUGUGUGUCAAUAUUGCAAAUACAUGUUCGUCGUUUUGUUUCUAAUGGGAGAGAGAGCGAGAGAGAGAGUUUAUUUCAAUAAUUUGCUUGCGCGUAUGGGUCUUUAGCAUUGGGAGGAAACCAGAGGGCCCAUAGAAAACCCACGAGGUUGGACAGCCGACCCUACUUCUUGUCAAGUGGAUAAUCGGGGCAGUCUUGGUUGUCAAGUACUGUUGCUACGAUAAUAAACGAUCUACGCUACAUCUUAAAACAGUCGUAAAUUUUCAUUAUUUAUAUUUGAACUAUUAUAGCACGAACGACCGGCUCUUUAUCUAAAUCUUAUAAAAUGUAUCUUUAAUGUUUUAUUGCUCGGUAAGUGUCACAUAUUAAAAAAUAACCACAAAUAAUAGACUUACAUCCAAAAUGUAGAAUACCAAGCUGCAAAAACACAUAUCCAUUUUGAGGUGUUGAUUCAUUUGGGAAAAAAUAUCAUAGGAUUCUAUGUAUGGCCAUAACCAAAACUGUCUCAGAAAUCUUUAAAAUCUGAAAAGUAACUAUUUCGUGGUGCACUAUACAAUUCCCAGUUAUACUUACUGCUAACCUAGGGUCAAUACAUACUCCUCGCAGUGUUUCGUUUGAUUAUACAUAAUUACACUUAAAGGGCUAAUCCCGAUAUUUUUUG